Molecule: non-coding RNA, 471 nt
Organism: Misgurnus anguillicaudatus (oriental weatherfish)
Lineage: Eukaryota; Metazoa; Chordata; Actinopteri; Cypriniformes; Cobitidae
Source: RefSeq, a predicted model, not a curated record
UUUCCGGAAGAAGAUGCAGAAGAAGGGGAAAAAAGAACAAUGAAAUCCUCCUUGCAUGGACCAGGUCUGUCAUAAAUCAUAUGUGGUUUUCCUGUGCAACCAGUAAGGGGGACGUCGAGGUACUGAAAUGCCGGUGGAAGUCCAUUCUACACCAUAUAUUAAACAUAAUAUUAUAUUACUAUUAUAAUGUUAGUUCCUGCACUACAAUGGUACCACACUGCCCAUAGCUGUACAUAUCUUAUCUAUAUGGUUCUUGCUGAAUAUGAAUAUUAAUUGUGUUUUUCUUAUAAUAUAUUCUGUUUAUACACUACAUCAAUAUUAUUUAUACUACUAUUAGGUUACUGCUACUAAAUCGCACAUAUCUGUACAUGUUGUUCAUACAUGCUUCAUAUUACAAAUCCAUAUUUUUUCUGCUCUUACAAGGUAACAGCUAAUAAACUGCACACAUAUAUGCACUGGUAUGUGUAAAUA